CGAAAAGAACCCCGGCGAGGGGAGUGAAAAAGAACCUGAAACCGUGUACGUACAAGCAGUGGGAGCACAGGUUUACCUGUGUGACUGCGUACCUUUUGUAUAAUGGGUCAGCGACUUAUAUUCUGUAGCAAGGUUAACCGUAUAGGGGAGCCGGAGGGAAACCGAGUCUUAAUUGGGCGUUAAGUUGCAGGGUAUAGACCCGAAACCCGGUGAUCUAGCCAUGGGCAGGUUGAAGGUUGGGUAACACUAACUGGAGGACCGAACCGACUAAUGUUGAAAAAUUAGCGGAUGACCUGUGGCUGGGGGUGAAAGGCCAAUCAAACCGGGAGAUAGCUGGUUCUCCCCGAAAGCUAUUUAGGUAGCGCCUCGUGAAUUCAUCUCCGGGGGUAGAGCACUGUUUCGGCUAGGGGGCCAUCCCGGCUUACCAACCCGAUGCA
RNAcentral lists this ribosomal RNA (437 nucleotides) under Salmonella enterica subsp. enterica serovar Typhimurium. Its description in RNAcentral is "bacterial LSU rRNA". It matches the Rfam family "Bacterial large subunit ribosomal RNA", at positions 515 to 951 of the family's 2925-position model. The record is from RNAcentral. Lineage: Bacteria; Pseudomonadati; Pseudomonadota; Gammaproteobacteria; Enterobacterales; Enterobacteriaceae.